Molecule: ribosomal RNA, 413 nt
Filed under: uncultured bacterium
Lineage: Bacteria
Description: bacterial SSU rRNA
Rfam family: Bacterial small subunit ribosomal RNA
Source: RNAcentral
AACGAACGCUGGCGGCAGGCUUAACACAUGCAAGUCGAACGAUGUAGCAAUACAUAGUGGCGCACGGGUGAGUAACGCGUGGGAAUAUACCUUAUAGGUGGGGAAUAACUUUGGGAAACUAAAGCUAAUACCGCAUACGCCCGAGAGGGAAGAUUUAUCGCUAUAAGAUUAGCCCGCGUGAGAUUAGGUAGUUGGUGGGGUAAUGGCCUACCAAGCCUACGAUCUCUAGCUGGUCUGAGAGGAUGAUCAGCCACACUGGAACUGAGACACGGUCCAGACUCCUACGGGAGGCAGCAGUGGGAAUAUGGGCAAUGGAGGAAACUCUGACCCAGCCAUGCCGCGUGAAUGAUGAAGGCCUUAGGGUUGUAAAGUUCUUUCACCGAUGAAGAUAAUGACGGUAGUCGGAGAAGAAG